UACGUAGGGUGCGAGCGUUAAUCGGAAUUACUGGGCGUAAAGCGUGCGCAGGCGGUUUCUUAAGUCAGAUGUGAAAGCCCCGGGCUUAACCUGGGAACUGCGUUUGAAACUGGGAGACUUGAGUGUGGCAGAGGGGGGUGGAAUUCCACGUGUAGCAGUGAAAUGCGUAGAUAUGUGGAGGAACACCGAUGGCGAAGGCAGCCCCCUGGGUUAACACCGACGCUCAUGCACGAAAGCGUGGGGAGCAAACAGG
This 253-nucleotide ribosomal RNA is filed under the name uncultured bacterium. RNAcentral's name for it is "partial 16S ribosomal RNA". It matches the Rfam family "Bacterial small subunit ribosomal RNA", at positions 524 to 776 of the family's 1533-position model. The record is from RNAcentral.